CAUAUUUGGCCAAAUAAGAAACUAGGAUAUAUGUCUACCCUUAUAAUUUCCUUUAUGUCAGUUUUAAAAUAAAAAUAAAAACCAAUACCUUCUCCCUCAUUCUCGGGUCUUCCAAACCCCAAAACCCCAAACCCUUGCCCGUGAAACUCCAUUCCUCUGCAUUUCUCUCUCUUCACGCAUCCCAUCCUCCAAACAUCAGACCCCUCACCGGAGUUUCUCUUGCUGCCGGCGAUUUCCCGUUCCUUUCCUGUCCUCUUCGUUGCUAUGCACGCGGUGCUGCUCGCGAGCCACCACAGUGCUGUUGUCGUCCCUCCCCUGCUGUGCUAUCGCGUCGCCUGCCCGCGCCACCUGCACCCUUGCCGGUACCUCGAAGCCUCGUCGUAGCUCACCUCCGCCUCCAUGUCGAUGCUUAGUCGUUCCCCGGUGCUCAGUCGCCUCACCGAAGCUUUGAAUACCCCUCUGCCCUCUGUUCUUCGCUGCUCUUGUGAGCAGAGGAUGAUGGAAAUAAUGGCGGAUUAGAGUAGCAAACAUGCAUGAUACAUCGAGAAGCAUGCCUACAUGGAUAAUGGAAUUGAAGAAUAAUGAAAGAAUGACCUUAAGAUUAAUUUAGGUGUAUUUAAGGAGAGAUAUAUAUAUUAUGAUUUUAUGAUUUGAUUUUUAGAUUAACUAUUUAUAUAUUGGAUGCAAUAGUAUGUUUUCGAUUGAGUAUACUCUUUGGCUCAUUUUUUACAAUGGUCGUUGAGUAUUUCUACUCAUUUACAUCAAUAAUAUCAUUUUAUUUCCUCUUCAA
Molecule: long non-coding RNA, 790 nt
Organism: Beta vulgaris subsp. vulgaris (sugar beet)
Lineage: Eukaryota; Viridiplantae; Streptophyta; Magnoliopsida; Caryophyllales; Amaranthaceae
Exons: 2
Source: RefSeq, a predicted model, not a curated record